Molecule: ribosomal RNA, 51 nt
Filed under: Diaporthe caulivora
Lineage: Eukaryota; Fungi; Ascomycota; Sordariomycetes; Diaporthales; Diaporthaceae
Description: partial small subunit ribosomal RNA
Source: RNAcentral
CAUAAAGGUUGUAACUAGGUUUCAGUUGGGGAACUAUUUCAGCGUUCAUCG